CCAUACCAUAUGGGUGACAAAGAACACGACAGUGCCGAGGGAAGCCACGUCUCGGGGCAGAGUAACGGUCGAGAUCCUCAGGCGCUGGCCAAAGCUGUGCAGAUUCACCACGACACCCUGAGGACCAUGUACUUUGCCUAAGCCAGCUCACAUCCAUCCCACGUUCUUCUAGUCAUGCACAGGAACCCAGACAACCGCAUACACACGCCUCACACCUCCAAACGCAAGUGCAUCCUGAAGGGUGGAUCUCUGUGGCGAUGGAAGCGCGGCCCGCCCCGACACUGUGCAGCAGGAUAAGGAAGGCCUGCUUUAAUUCCACACGUGGACCUCGGCACUAUUAUGCAAUAUUAAACCAGCCAACUGAGGCCGUUCUGUCAUAUCCCCUCCAAAACCCAAAAGGGAAGCCCGUCUAUGCCCCCGCUCCUCUUCCUGUCUGUAGACGUAACGUUUAAUUACUUUCCCUGCCUGUCACGCCUUGUACCUCAACGUUUUCUAACAGCACUUUUUCCUCUUAUUGUCCUUCCCCCAAAAUGAGAUUCGAAUGGAAGCGGAUGGAAAGACUGAGUCUGGAAGAAAGGAAGUUUUGGGGAAUGCCUACGGAUAGAUGUACUUUCCUCCCGUUCUCAAUUAUUUUUGUAGCCAAUGGUGACUUAACUACGUGUUAAAGUGUCAGUCGUGAAGAACCAAUUGUGCGUUAGCAUUUUAAAACAGAAAAACAAGCUUUUAUUGUUAGAGAAGUGCCAUUGCAGAGCGCAGAGUCCUUUAUGACGUCCGGGUGGCAGAAAGCUGACGGUUGAAUUUUUUUAAGCAAAUCUACGCUCUAGCUUUCAUGUACUACAAUGCAAAGUGAUCAUGUUUUGAUGCUCUUUCUUGUUUUUAACACCCAAGUUCCCUCCGAUAUUUAUUUGUCUCGAUCAAACGCAGCACUUAGCAGAUUGUCUCGUUCGCUCCCCUCCUGCACUGUGUCUCGGUUUAAAAUGCAUAGUCUGUGUGAUGUGACAGAUCAUAGUUUAGUGCAAUAAUCCAUUAGCGGGAUGAGAAGACCUCCUGUGCAAAGACUCGGUAUGCGGCUGGGUGUGAAAGGCAUCUGAAAGUGGUUGGAUUUUAAGAUGGAGGUGUGCAUGUUUGCCACUUUUAUAGUUUAUUUUUGGUGAAAGUACAGCAGCGUUUCCUGACGAUUGACCGUAGUGUGUAAACAAGUGCCUGCUAGAAAUGCACGACGUUGGAAGGUCAGAAACAGAACAAAUGCACCUCAUUUAGUCCAACCAAGGGCACAGUUGCGACCACAUUCGACUGUACGGCCUUAAUAAAAUCUCGCGGUUUCAGCGUCUCGAUUUUCACUGCCCUGCCUGUUUCAGAGGAUUUUGCUGCUGUUGUACUUGUUCAAGUCCGACUGCUGGGUUCAUGCUUCAGUUCGCCUAGGCACGAGGGACCGUUUGGCAGCUCUAGGCCACGUGUUCAAGGAGAAGCUCUGGCAGCACCUAAUUCGUGCCACUAGGGGUCAGUAUAGUUUUUUACCUGGAGCGUGCAGUGAGAGUUGUGUGCCUUACCGUCUCUCCGUGCGCCAUCUGAAGCAUGUCCUGCUGUUUAAAGGUGAUAAUCUGCACUAAAUAAUGCGUAAUGCAUGGUGCUAUUAGGUGCGGCCCGCGGCGGCAUCAGCAACUGGCACAGACUUAAUGCGUAAGAUGGAACAUGGGAUGCAUAAAUGGUGCUGGUUGUGUGUAUUUCUCUCUCUCCGAGGAGGAAUUUCUCAUCAGGACAGACAUUUGGCUGUUUUGUAUGUUUGUUAGAUUUGUAUUUGAUUUUAUUGCAGAGAAAGGUACAGCACAGUGGCCAGUCAGAAUAUGAUUACAGUCAAUUACACGAAGCACUAGAAAGCGGAAGAUUUUAAUGCAUAACUUUUUUUUUUAGUAACAAUUCAGUCUCUUUAAAAUACUGAACUGCAGUUUAUGCAGUCAGAUAAAUUCUAAAGUAUAAAUAAUCGAAUGAAACUAAUGCAGUAGGCUGUUGUGAUGGAUUUUCUGUUUUUUUUUUUUUUUUUUUUUUUGUUAAGUGUGCAUUAGAGGUUGAACCUUUUGCAGAAGGUACACCGUGUUUUAUGCCCAUCAAAAGUGGUUUAAGUGAUGCUGUAAGCAUCAAAACAACUGCUACUGAAAUUGUGCCCGUUUUUUGUUUCACAACCGCUUAUCGGUGCUUCAGAGCCUUGGAAGUAAAACCGUCUGUGUGUGGAUGCCAAACAGCUAUCAGUUUCAGAAGCAAUCUUGAUGAGGUGUCAUGCAAUUUUAUUUUUGUGUAGUUUUAACUUCAUAUAUAUAUAUUACUAACACAUGCCUUGUAUUUUGGCAAGAAAUGUCUCUUUAAAGGGAUAGUUUGGUUCUAGAUGAUUAUGAAUUGUCAUUAUUUACCCACUUUACCCUCUGUUGUUUCAAACUUGCAUGACUUUUUUUUUUUUUUUUUUUUUGGUGUAAGUUUUAAAAAAUGUGUGAGCUGCUGUUUUCCAUGCAACAAAAGUGAAUGGAUAUCAGUGGAUAUUAAAGUUAAGUUACGGCUUGAAAGCAUAAAAAAUAGAUUCAUUUUGGAACUUAAAAACAGUCCAUUUUUGUUGCAUAAGUCAAUGGCAAAACAAGUCUGCACCGACACGAGGGUGAGAAAACCACACAAUUUUCAUUUUUCGCUGAACGAUUCCUUUAAAGCUGCAACUGGUUUUGCCUCCGUAUGAAGAUUGUAAAGAGUGUUUGUCUUGUAUUCGCAAGUGACUGUGGUAGCAGAUGUUGUGGGUUCAGAGCACACUUAUCGAGUUUGUUGCCUGUCGUGGCCUCCGUUAUCUAGAAAGCUAGAAGUGUAAGAGUCAGUCUGUGUAUUUUCUCCUCUCCUCUCUUCUCGUCUUUUAUUUCAGAGCUUUUUGGGAGGGUCUUCUUUUAGGGUCUAAAACGUAACACGAGUUCAAAGUUCAUAGAAAGUGCCUUUCCUCAUGAUGGUGCUGAAUAAUCUGAGACUAAAGUGAGAAAUCAAAGAGCAUAUUAGUCUUACUCUUACCUUGAAGAAGGUGUUGCACACAUGCAAACACACACACGUUUUUAUCUCGAUCGGGAGGCUCAUAACGGUGCCUCUUUGUAUAUUCAGAUAUUAUAAUGACGAUGAUAUAUGCCAAGUAUACGAGCAAACGGUUGAGAUACUGUAUUAGGAGUCCGGACCAAUGCAAUAGGUGAAUGUGCUAUCUUUAGAUAGAGGGCAGAGCGGACACUCAUAAGACACGGCCUGACCCUGGACAGGAAAGCCUAGCACAGCACUUUAAAGACUGCCACCCAAACAAGGAAACAAAGUCACAGUGCUUUGCUCUCCUUUUUCUUUUUCCCCCAUAAGCCCCUUUUUUCACAUACUCCAGCAAAAGACAGUCUCUAGUGCUUGAAGUCUUUGCUGAGGGAAGGUUAAUCAUGUUUCGGAGGUUUACACGGGACCCCGGUGACGUCGUUUUUUGGACUUCACUAUGGCUGCUUAAAAAACUCAUUGUUUGUUGCAGUGGCUGAUCGAUCCCUGUCAAUGUGCAAUGGCCCGUAGAAACCUAGACGCAUACAGUAUGUGUUUUGAGCCCCGUGGCCUGUAUUUUGUCACAUGGGUGCCCGUUGGUCCAGGAGGAUAUACCUCGACGAGAGAUCUCAAAACACUGCACCUCACUGACCUUGGUAUGCUGCAUAUGUUAAAGUGAAAGAAAGUGCAAGUGAGUGAAUCUCACCGAAGAACGUGUUCACAUUUCACGCCAACAUCACAAGACGCAUUAUAUUUUGCAUACAGAAAAAUAAGCCAAUUUUUUAUUAUUCACUUUUUAUAUUAAAAUUUUUUGCAUUGAGACAAUUAAAUGCAUCCCUCUCCCCAAAUUCUCAUUAUUGUCAUGCGAAACAUAUUAUGUAUGAAUAUUAGUUGCAUUGCUUUUCGUUUUUAUAAUACAGUAAAUAUCAUUCUAUCUCCAUUGGGAAUUACAAAAUGGCUCAAAACUGUGAGGAAAAUGUGCUAAUUAAUAAUAAUAAAAUUCUGGUUGUUAAAACAGGCUGCAUUUUUCUCUUGCAAAAUAUAAUUUCUAGUUGUACUACACUUCAACAAAACGACAGAAAUCAGCAAUUAUAUUUUGCAUAAAGAAAAUAAAACCUACUUUUUGGAGACAAUUAAACGCAUUGCCCCUCUACAAAUUCUCAUUAUUGUAAUGUGAAAAAAAUGAUUCUAGUAUUAAAAUGCAUAUAUAUAUUUAUACAUCACAGUAGUACUGUAUUUGUUGCAUUGCCUUUCCUUCAUGCUUAUUAGUCAAUAUCAUUCUAUCACCGUUGAGAAUGAUGGGAAUUACAAGAAAGCUGCGCUUAAUUGUCAUGACAGUAAUGCAAAUAAUGCAGUAAUUGCAUUGGUGGUCAAAAUAGGCUUCGUUUUUGUCAUGCAAAAUGUAAUUUCUAGAGUAUUAUACAACAACAACAACAGACCGAAAUUAGAAAGUAUAUUUUGCAUCAAGAAAAUAAAGCCUACUUUUGGACCAUUAUCAUUAUUAUUAUUUUAGGCAUUGAGGCUGUAUUUAAAUGACAAAUAAACACAUUCCCUCUCUCUAAAUUCUCAAAGUUGUAAUGCAAAAAAAAUUAUUAUAACAUCAAAGUACAGAAAUGCUCAAAAUUAUAGGGAAAAUAUGCUUAAUUAUCAUGCAAAUAAAAUAUUUUGUUGAAACAGGCUUCAUUUUUCUCAUGCAAAAUAUAAGUUGAUAUUCUUUUGAUUUCAGAGGUGGAUAUGUUAUACUUGAGAUUCGCCCAGAUAUUACUUUGAUUACAGUAUAAUGCCUGACAACAAUAUCCUUAACAAUUUUAGAUUCAGAGGUCUAAUUAUAAGAGAGAGAAAAAAAGUUGUUUUUAAAUCAUAACACUUAUCUUUUUCUUCUUUUAUUGAGCCAACUUUUUGUUUUCCUAUUUAAAUGUCUUGUUUUUUUCUUUUAAUAUAUUGGAAAUAUAUAUGGGAAAUAUUUAAUGGUGUAUUUAUUGAGGGAGUGCUUACGCGGCUGGGGUCUCCGCAGAGUUUGGGGGUCGAACAGCCUCGACAUCCUCUCUCACACACACACAAGCACAACCACAGGGUGGGCUGAAGUGUUCGAUGACGUCACUUCCUCCCUGACCAUUGACUAGUUCGAGGUCGUCCACCUCUCCAGCCAAGAGGCUCGUCGCAUCUCAUCUCUUUACGGGACGGAGAACCACACUGACUUUAUUCCAAAAAGAAGAUAAAAAGCUGAUUGUUUUCAUCCAGAGCUGCUAGACUCUUAGCCAUACACUUUUUUUUAUUUUUAUUUUUUCUCUGAAAGGAUGUGUCCGGUGCUUUACAAAUGGAGUCGAGAAGCAGAUCAUGGUGUUCGUCAUUUGCUUGAGUUCAAUUGUCUUCGUGCCAGAGAGGGUCCCAUUCCACUCAGAUAUAUAUAAAUAUAUGAGCCUCAGCCUUGACUGUACUCUUGUUUUUCUGAUUGGACUUGAGACGUCUGUCAAAAGGCCUUCAUCGUGUGUAGAGAAGCAUACUAACUCACUCCCUGUGUGGCAUCUCGGUUCUCUUUUAAACCACUAAUUGUCGUGAAACGGCUCGAGAUUCGGAGACGAGGCCGCUGUCUGUAUUUCAAACGGUCAUGCCGUCGUUUUCCGGGAGGACGGAGGCAUCGAGCGCCGGACGAAGUUGCACCCAAAUCGCUGACCCGAGUCGAUUCCUAAAAAUGUUUACAAAACGGUUUACUGCAACGCAACGCUCCAGCAUUCCACAAACAGGACUGUGAAGCAUCCGAUGCAAACGCACGGCGAGUCUGUCCAUCCUCCGUUUGUGUGGCUCACGUCUGGCGUCUCUUGGUACCGGAGGACGGCGGUGGCUUCCGUCGCGCGAUCGUGGCUUACGAAAGAGUUAAAGCGAGUCGGGAUCUCCGUGUUCGCAAAGAGUCUCUCAUAAUGUACCAGGGGAUGUUUCCUUUCCUUUGAAAUGUCUUUCUUUGUUUAAUAAUCCUCUCUUUGUAGAUCAAUGGCCUUUUAGUGUUGCUUUGCUUCAGUUUGGAGUGUAUCUUUCACUAAUACUUGCAAUAAAAAGCUUUGCUUUUGAAACAGA
Long non-coding RNA from Cyprinus carpio (common carp), 6099 nucleotides. RefSeq lists it as uncharacterized. The record is from RefSeq and is a predicted model, not a curated record. The transcript has 2 exons. Lineage: Eukaryota; Metazoa; Chordata; Actinopteri; Cypriniformes; Cyprinidae.